GUCAAGAUUGCCGAGUGGUUAAGGCGCCAGACUUAAGAUUCUAAUUCAAAUAAUAGAUUAAUAGGUAAUCUUGUUAUAUCCGUUACUUGGCUUUGUGGUCUUCGAAGAAGGCGUGGGUUCGAACCCCACUCUUGACA
Molecule: transfer RNA, 137 nt
Filed under: Daphnia pulex (common water flea)
Lineage: Eukaryota; Metazoa; Arthropoda; Branchiopoda; Diplostraca; Daphniidae
Rfam family: tRNA
About the family: Transfer RNA (tRNA) molecules are approximately 80 nucleotides in length.
Source: Rfam by way of RNAcentral